AACGACCCAACUUCCCAAACAAAAGAAAUAAGAAAAUAAUGUGAUAUGAGCAGAUCAAUUAUGAAGAUUUACCCAAAAUAUUAGGUAUCUGUGUUUCGAAGAGAUUAAUAAAAUAAAGAUAAAAUAGAAUAAAUGAAUGGGCAUUGAGCGAGAUAAUCGAUUAACAACAUUCAACUUUCCAGGAGCGCAUAAGUUUAGUUCCGUGACUCUGAUCAUAAUCAACGAUGGCUUCAUUAAUUGAAAUACGAAUUAAGGGUCUAAGCUCAACGAGAUAAUAUUUUACCAUAUAAUAGAAGUUCUUAGUUUAGGAGAUUGAAAGACAAGAUAGCAAGCUAGUCGUUUAGCGGAAGCAAAAGACAGCGUGGAACCCUAGCCUCAGCUCCGUCCGCACCAACCGAUCAACCUGAAAAUAUUUGAAAAUAAUUUGGGCUGAGUACUAGUGUACUCAGUGAACAGGAGUCUGCAAGAUAUUUUAUGAAAUAAUUAAAUAGAGCAGUUUAUCCAAUAUCAUAAUCAUAACUUAGAAGGUUUUGAAAAUAGAAAUCCACUUCUAAGCAUGACAAAACAUUUUUCUCAUUAAGUGGCGCGCCAUGUGACGUUCGAUUGUUACUCGCUGCUUAUGAUCCCGGGACUUAAACCACCGUCGGAUCGCUUACCGCCGCUUAAGUGAACCCGGGACGCUACCCAGACAGAACACAUCAUCAUCUGUGCUUGGAACGUGUCCAGGAGCACCCUUAUAACGCCUGCUUAGCUUCGUUAGUGCCCAAAUGGCGAUCAACCCAUUGAGCAACUAACCUUGUGUACACAAUCCUCAUCUAACGUGUUAGGUCAAAUGAGAAUCUCGAUCGAUGCUUAUGCGAGCAUUAAACAAUACAGAACGCACAUAAAAACAUUUAUAUUGGAUAAACGAACAUUUUCAACUUUCAUGAAAUAUCAGAGCUUAUAUAACUCAAGAUACAUUUGUAAAAUAAAGCCCACCUGGAUAGGCAAAGCCCGAAGAUCAUACACAUAUAAACCUGUCUUGGGAAAAGCAGCGCUAACCCACUUGGUCACAAAGCCUACAAGAAAUUAUAUUCUUAAUAGGUCUCGAGGUAUCAUUCUAAUUUCUAAGUAAAUGGAAUCGCUAACUAUUGAUACACUUUGCCCGGUUUAAUAAUCUCCUUGAGUGAAUUCAUAAACUUUUAAUACAUAAUUAAUAACUUAAUUAAGAUAAUUAAUAAUAAAUUUAACACUUAUAAGAUAUUUAAUAUAAAAGCUAAUCUUUUAAGAAAAUUAAUAAAACUAAUUAAAAUACUAGUAGGCUCAAUUAGAAAAAUGAUUAGAGCCCAAGAAAUUAAUGCAAUAGACUUGUUCAAAUCAAAUUAGCCCAAAUAUAAUAAAACACAGCCCAUCAAAUAAAUGAAAUGAAUCAGCCACUACGAUUAAUAUAAAUUGGCCCAUUGAUUUUAAUAAGUGAGAGCCCAAAACUAAAGACCCAUUUGAAAAAAAGGACAAACUAAAACAAAGAAAUAAUAUAAACACAUCUCUCACUUUCCCACUCUUAAAAAAAUACGGCUCUUUCUCUCUCUCUCUCUCUCUCCCAAAAUCACCGCCCCUCUUCUCCCUCCAAGAUCCGCCGCCGCCUGCUCCUACCCCGGCGAUGUUCGCCGACUCCGAUGUCUUCCCCCCACUCGUCGCCUUCCCUAUCUCACCACCCUCUCUCUUAACCAGUCACGCCGCCACCCCUCUUCCCGAUGAGAUCGUCGCCGGCCACCACCCUUCCCUUGCUCGUCAACCUCCCUCUCUCACCAUCCUCCCAUCUGCCUCCCCCAUUCUCGCGCCCGUGUCCGAAGGCAGACGGCCAUGGAGGAAACGCCACCGCCGCCGCUCGCCUGCCUCGGCCGAGUUCAGCGGCGUCGGGUGCCGCCUUGCACCGUCCUGCCUCAAACCGCGCCGCCUGGCCUGCCUUCACCGUGAGCAGCCACGGGCUGCCACCACCCAUGCGGCGCCGGUCGCCGCAUCAUUGUCAGCCCGGCAUCGGGCCUCCGACAACCUCCCCCUCUUCUCUUCACUCAUUCCCAAACCAAAACAGCAAAAUGAAAUUCUCAGAUUUGUAAAGAUUUGAUUUUUGGUGCAUUGGUCAAGGUAUUUCUUUAAUAGAAACAGUUGGGUAUUUGGAUUUCGUAAGUUAAUCUUUUGUGAAAAUCAUGUUGGUGAUGUUUCCGUAAGGAAAAAUAAGAACCAAACAGAAGAAAAUAGUUGCUGUAUUAAAAUGAAAAUACAUAGAUUUACAGAGAUAAUUGGGGUUACCAGCUGGAAUUCAUGUUGAUUGCUUCCUACCGCAGCCUGAGGAAGUGACUCUUGCGGUGGAAUAGUGUAAGAAAAGUUGAGGUAAUUUAUGAAGGUGGAUGGAUUGACGUGGUUGAAACAACGCCAAAGCUUUUGGGAAAAGAAUGUCAAAUUUGUGAAAAAUAUCUUGUACAGUUAGACUUGGAGAGAAAGGAAAAUAUUACAGUUCUCACAGACACACACACGCAUGUUUCAGCUUCCCACACUGAUCUCCAAAUUUUGGGCCAACAUUGAUCUCACCAAAUUUUGGGUUGGAGGCCCAAGAAAAAUUAAUAACUCACAGAUAAAUAUUAUUGGGCUUGAGGCCCAAUAAAAUAAAUAAAUAGACAAAUAACUAAAUAGAAUGGAAAAAAAAAAAAAAAAAAAUAAAUGAAUACUUGUGAAAAUAUUUUUCAUAUACCUUAAUAACGGGCUCAAGACAUUUGAUCAAUAAAAUAAUAGUAAUGAACUUCAAUUUAUAAAAUCUCUUUAAAAUAGUAUAAUUUAUUAAAUACCGGGCGUGUAUCAAUAGUAUUCUAAUUUUAAAGGUCUUCAAUAUUUCCUAUGA
Molecule: long non-coding RNA, 2875 nt
Filed under: Salvia miltiorrhiza (redroot sage)
Lineage: Eukaryota; Viridiplantae; Streptophyta; Magnoliopsida; Lamiales; Lamiaceae
Description: long non-coding RNA (SMIL_LNC002299)
Source: RNAcentral